GUGGGGAAUAUUGCACAAUGGAGGAAACUCUGAUGCAGCGAUGCCGCGUGAGGGAAGAAGGUUUUCGGAUUGUAAACCUCUGUCUUGAGGGACGAUAAUGACGGUACCUCAGGAGGAAGCUCCGGCUAACUACGUGCCAGCAGCCGCGGUAAUACGUAGGGAGCGAGCGUUGUCCGGAAUUACUGGGUGUAAAGGGAGUGUAGGCGGGAUGGCAAGUUAGGUGUGAAAUGCGGAGGCUCAACCUCCGAGCUGCACUUAAAACUGCUGUUCUUGAGUGAAGUAGAGGCUGGCGGAAUUCCCAGUGUAGCGGUGAAAUGCGUAGAUAUUGGGAGGAACAUCAGUGGCGAAGGCGGCCAGCUGGGCUUUUACUGACGCUGAGGCUCGAAAGCGUGGGGAGCAAACAGG
Molecule: ribosomal RNA, 405 nt
Filed under: uncultured bacterium
Lineage: Bacteria
Description: bacterial SSU rRNA
Rfam family: Bacterial small subunit ribosomal RNA
Source: RNAcentral